AUUGAACGCUGGCGGCAGGCCUAACACAUGCAAGUCGAACGGUAACAGGAAGCAGCUUGCUGCUUCGCUGACGAGUGGCGGACGGGUGAGCAAUGUCUGGGAAGCUGCCUGAUGGAGGGGGAUAACUACUGGAAACGGUAGCUAAUACCGCAUAAUGUCGCAAGACCAAAGAGGGGGACCUUCGGGCCUCUUGCCAUCGGAUGUGCCCAGAUGGGAUUAGCUUGUUGGUGGGGUAACGGCUCACCAAGGCGACGAUCCCUAGCUGGUCUGAGAGGAUGACCAGCCACACUGUGACUGAGACACGGUCCCGACUCCUGUGGGGGGCAGCCGUCGGGAAUAUUGCAAAAUGGGCGGAAGCCUGAUGGAGCCAUGCCGCGUGUAUGGAGAAAGCCUUCGGGUUGUAAAGUUCUUUCGGCGGGGAGGGAGGGAGUAAAGUUAAUACCUUGGCUCAUUGACGUUACCCGCAGAAGAAGCACCGGCUAACUCCGUG
This 490-nucleotide ribosomal RNA is filed under the name uncultured bacterium. RNAcentral's name for it is "partial 16S ribosomal RNA". It matches the Rfam family "Bacterial small subunit ribosomal RNA", at positions 30 to 507 of the family's 1533-position model. The record is from RNAcentral.